Molecule: ribosomal RNA, 383 nt
Filed under: uncultured eukaryote
Lineage: Eukaryota
Description: partial 18S ribosomal RNA
Rfam family: Eukaryotic small subunit ribosomal RNA
Source: RNAcentral
CAAUAGCGUAUAUUAAAGUUGUUGCAGUUAAAAAGCUCGUAGUUGGAUUUCUGGUGGGAGCGAUCGGUCUGGCGCUUAGCGCGAGUACUUGCAUCGUCUCCGGCCAUCCUUGGGGAGAGUCUGUCUGGCAUUAGGUUGUCGGGCAGAGGAUCCUCAUCGCUUACUGUGAAAAAAUUAGAGUGUUCAAAGCAGGCUUAUGCCGUUGAAUAUAUUAGCAUGGAAUAAUAAGAUAGGACUUUGGUACUAUUUUGUUGGUUUGCGCACCAAAGUAAUGAUUAAUAGGGACAGUUGGGGGUAUUCGUAUUCCGUUGUCAGAGGUGAAAUUCUUGGAUUUACGGAAGACGAACUACUGCGAAAGCAUUUACCAAGGAUGUUUNCAUUAA